CCAGGUCCGACCCGGCCACGGUCGGCUCGCCGUUCGGCCCCGGCGGCCGCAGCGUCAGCCCGCGCACCCGUAUCUUGGGCCCGGCGCCGGCGAGGCCGUCCACGUCCACGCCCACGCCCACGCCCAGCAGAUGCUGCCUCAUGGCACCGUCAUCUGUACGUGCUCCGUUUGGCACGACAUACAUCGAUCGAUCGAUGGAUCAACCAUAUGUAUACAAGAACAAGAAGGCUUCAAGGAAUCAAAUCAAUCAUGCAAUCCAUCUCAGAGUUUGCUUUGGUGAAUUACCUGAAGAUGAGCCCAUCGGAACUGGAAUCGGAACUGGAUCGUGCGUGCAGGUGCAGUGGAGAAGAUCUCACAGCGCAAGGAAGAGGAGAGUGCGCGCCCGGUGGGAAUCACGUUCCUUUCUACUAAAGAAAAAUAAUUGGAGGCUCCUCUGCAAGUGCAAGCGAGGUGGGCAGCGGCGGCUUUCGACGCCUGCAUUGCAUCACUAGAGUUCAUAGAAAACUAGCCCACGAUGCCACGGUAGGUAAGAGCAUCUACACCCCUCAUUCUCGUCCGCGGACACGCAGAGAAAGAAGAAAAAA
Molecule: long non-coding RNA, 584 nt
Filed under: Hordeum vulgare
Lineage: Eukaryota; Viridiplantae; Streptophyta; Magnoliopsida; Poales; Poaceae
Description: long non-coding RNA (HVUL_LNC011078)
Source: RNAcentral